GGGGUUGUGGCUCAGUGGUAGAGUGCUUGCCUAGCAUGUGCAAGGCUCUGGGUUCGAUCCUCAGCACCA
RNAcentral lists this transfer RNA (69 nucleotides) under Marmota marmota marmota (Alpine marmot). It matches the Rfam family "tRNA". Rfam says of the family: Transfer RNA (tRNA) molecules are approximately 80 nucleotides in length. Their secondary structure includes four short double-helical elements and three loops (D, anti-codon, and T loops). RNAcentral also lists the same sequence under 2 other names. The record is from Rfam by way of RNAcentral. Lineage: Eukaryota; Metazoa; Chordata; Mammalia; Rodentia; Sciuridae.